Molecule: ribosomal RNA, 492 nt
Filed under: uncultured bacterium
Lineage: Bacteria
Description: partial 16S ribosomal RNA
Rfam family: Bacterial small subunit ribosomal RNA
Source: RNAcentral
AGUGAACGCUGGCGGUAGGCCUAACACAUGCAAGUCGAACGGCAGCCCAGUAAGAGCUUGCUCUUACGGGUUGCGAGUGGCGGACGGGUGAGGAAUACAUCUGAAUCUACUUUUUCGUGGGGGAUAACGUAGGGAAACUUACGCUAAUACCGCAUACUACCUACGGGUGAAAGCAGGGGAUCUUCGGACCUUUCGCUAUUGAAUGAUACGAUGUCGGAUUAGCUAGUUGGCGGGGUAAAGGCCCACCAAGGCGACGAUCCGUAGCUGGUCUGAGAGGAUGAUCAGCCACACUGGAACUGAGACACGGUCCAGACUCCUACGGGAGGAAGCAGUGGGGAAUAUUGGACAAUGGGCGCAAGCCUGAUCCAGCCAUACCGCGUGGGUGAAGAAGGCCUUCGGGUUGUAAAGCCCUUUUGUUGGGAAAGAAAAGCAGCAGGUUAAUACCCCGCUGUUCUGACGGUACCCAAAGAAUAAGCACCGGCUAACUUCGUG